Trichomycterus rosablanca is the source of this 495-nucleotide long non-coding RNA. RefSeq lists it as uncharacterized. Lineage: Eukaryota; Metazoa; Chordata; Actinopteri; Siluriformes; Trichomycteridae. The record is from RefSeq and is a predicted model, not a curated record. The transcript is spliced from 2 exons.
UUUUACCUCAGUUUUUGCGCGCGAAAUACAAAUUGAGUGUUACAGUCUUCAGUUAUUUUAUCCUCCGACAUGGGUUUGCCAAAGUAUGCUCUAGUGUAUUUUUUUGAAGAUGAUAUUCCUGCCACCAGUGUAAAUGAGUCCCAAUUAUUUGAAGGACACAAAAACCUUACCACAGAUGAUCCCAUUGAUGGCCAAAUGGUUGUGGUAAACUGGAAAGUGAGGAUUGGGAAAAAGAUGUUUGUUAGGCAGGUGCCCUGCUAAGCCUUUGAAGUUCGAUGAUGAUAAAGCAAAUUUAAUAGUGGCAGAAGAAGCAUAUUUCCUUGGACAGGAAAUUGAGGGUGGAAAGAGGCUGAGGAAGAAGCCAAAGCGAUUAUAUGAUGAUGAAGACGUAUGUCUGAAAAUGCUGUAUGAAUUUAAAUUGAAAUGGAAGUAUUUAAGUGAGGACCAGUCAUAUAGGAUAGAUUGAUGUAUAUAAAUAAAGGUAAUAUAAAGAUA